CGCUGGCGGCGUGCCUAACACAUGCAAGUCGAACGGAGUUCCUUCGGGGACUUAGUGGCGAACGGGUGAGUAACGCGUGAAGAACCUGCCUUUCAGUGGGGGACAACAGUUGGAAACGACUGCUAAUACCGCAUAAUGUUAUUUGAGGGCAUCCUCGGAUAACCAAAGAUUUAUUGCUGAAAGAUGGCUUCGCGUCUGAUUAGAUAGUUGGUGGGGUAACGGCCUACCAAGUCGACGAUCAGUAGCCGGACUGAGAGGUUGAACGGCCACAUUGGGACUGAGACACGGCCCAGACUCCUACGGGAGGCAGCAGUGGGGAAUAUUGGGCAAUGGGGGAAACCCUGACCCAGCAACGCCGCGUGAAGGAAGAAGGCCUUCGGGUUGUAAACUUCUUUUACCAGGGACGAAGAACGUGACGGUACCUGGAGAAAAAGCAACGGCUAACUACGUG
This 451-nucleotide ribosomal RNA is filed under the name uncultured bacterium. RNAcentral's name for it is "bacterial SSU rRNA". It matches the Rfam family "Bacterial small subunit ribosomal RNA", at positions 34 to 507 of the family's 1533-position model. The record is from RNAcentral.